Molecule: ribosomal RNA, 451 nt
Filed under: uncultured bacterium
Lineage: Bacteria
Description: partial 16S ribosomal RNA
Rfam family: Bacterial small subunit ribosomal RNA
Source: RNAcentral
AGCGAACGCUGGCGGCAUGCCUAACACAUGCAAGUCGCACGGGGGGGCUUCGGCCUCCCAGUGGCGGACGGGUGAGGAACGCGUAGGGACCUGUCGAGGGGUGGGGGAUAACCGCGGGAAACUGCGGCUAAUACCGCAUGACGCCGCGGCGUGACAGCCGGGGCCAAAGGCGAAAGCCGCCCGCCGAGGGGCCUGCGUCCGAUUAGCUGGUUGGCGGGGUAGCGGCCCACCAAGGCGUCGAUCGGUAGCUGGUCUGAGAGGGUGAUCAGCCACACCGGGACUGAGACACGGCCCGGACCCCUACGGGAGGCAGCAGUGGGGAAUAUUGGACAAUGGGCGCAAGCCUGAUCCAGCAAUGCCGCGUGGGUGAAGAAGGUCUUCGGAUUGUAAAGCCCUUUCGGCGGGGACGAUGGUGACGGUACCCGCAGAAGAAGCCCCGGCUAACUUCGUG